RNAcentral lists this transfer RNA (74 nucleotides) under Pediococcus argentinicus. Its description in RNAcentral is "tRNA-His". It matches the Rfam family "tRNA". From Rfam's summary of the family: Transfer RNA (tRNA) molecules are approximately 80 nucleotides in length. Their secondary structure includes four short double-helical elements and three loops (D, anti-codon, and T loops). The record is from RNAcentral. Lineage: Bacteria; Bacillati; Bacillota; Bacilli; Lactobacillales; Lactobacillaceae.
GCGGUACUGGCGAAGUGGUUAACGCACCGGAUUGUGGCUCCGGCACGCGUGGGUUCGAUUCCCACGUACCGCCC